AGCCUGAACGCUGGCGGCGUGGCUAAGACAUGCAAGUCGUACGGUGUAGCAAUACACAGUGGCGAACGGGAGAGUAAUGAAUCGCUAAUGUGCCCCGGACUCUGAGAUAGCCAUCCGAAAGGGUGGGUAAUAUCAGAUGACAUAUCUCUGUCGCAUGAUAGAGAUCUCAAAGGUCCGCCGGUCUGGGAGCAGGCGAUUUCGUAUCAGCUAGUUGGUGAGGUAACGGCUCACCAAGGCGACGACGCGUAGCCGGACUGAGAGGUUGGCCGGCCUCAUUGGGACUGAGACACUGCCCAGACUCCUACGGGGGGCUGCAGUAACGAAUCUUCCGCAAUGCACGAAAGUGUGACGGAGCGACGCCGCGUGUGGGACGAAGUCCUUCGGGAUGUAAACCACUGUCAGGGGUUACCAAGUUCUGAGGACGCCCGAGGAGGGAAGGGACGGCUAACGUCUGUGCCAGCAGCCGC
RNAcentral lists this ribosomal RNA (467 nucleotides) under uncultured bacterium. RNAcentral describes it as "SSU rRNA". It matches the Rfam family "Bacterial small subunit ribosomal RNA", at positions 26 to 518 of the family's 1533-position model. The record is from RNAcentral.